This 406-nucleotide ribosomal RNA is filed under the name uncultured bacterium. Its description in RNAcentral is "partial 16S ribosomal RNA". It matches the Rfam family "Bacterial small subunit ribosomal RNA", at positions 30 to 526 of the family's 1533-position model. The record is from RNAcentral.
AUUGAACGCUGGCGGCAGGCUUAACACAUGCAAGUCGAGCGAGCUGCGGACGGGUUAGUCUUGUCUGGGAAACUGCCUGAUGGAGGGGGAUAACUACUGGAAACGGUAGCUAAUACCUCAUACCAUCAGAUCUGCCCAGAUGGGAUUAGCUAGUAGGGGGGGUAAUGGCUCACCUAGUCGACGAUCCCUAGCUGGUCUCAGAGGAUGACCAGCAACACUGGAACGGAGACGAGGUCCAGACUCCUACGGGAGGCAGCAGGGGGGAAUAUUGCACAAUGGGCGCAAGCCAGAUGCAGCCAUGCCGCGUGUGUGAAGAAGGCCUUCGGGUUGUAAAGCACGUUCAGCGAGGAGGCGUUACUCGCAGAAGAAGCACCGGCUAACUCCGUGCCAGCAGCCGCGGUAAUAC